Varanus komodoensis (Komodo dragon) is the source of this 423-nucleotide long non-coding RNA. RefSeq lists it as uncharacterized. The transcript has 2 exons. The record is from RefSeq and is a predicted model, not a curated record. Lineage: Eukaryota; Metazoa; Chordata; Lepidosauria; Squamata; Varanidae.
CCGGUUUUUGUUUCGCCGCUGGGGGAAAUGAGACUGUGGAUCGGUGCGGAGAUGCUACCAAUAUAGGAGGGAGUUUACUGUCCUCCUCCAGUGGAGGGAUGUAAAACCGAGAAAGUGCAGAGAAUUCUGAAAACUGCUGUUUCGUGAGGAUGCAGAGAAUUCUUCAUAGAACUGCAGUUCUCUGGAUGUGAGUGAAAACUGUUAAACCAGUUUAAGCCUCGGGGGAAGAUGCACCCUACAAGGUACUCUGACUGUGACAGUGAGCUUGUCUACAUAAGAUGGACAAUCCGGUGCUUAACCGAAGCUGCUUUUUCUGCUUUCUUUGUGUCCUUCACAUGAGGUCUGCCCUUCCCCUACCCCUGGUGAGGCUUCUCCUCUCUGCCUUUCUCUAUGCUCCUAUAUAUAUUACACAAUGCAAGGUGA